AUCGCUUCUCGGCCUUUUGGCUAAGAUCAAGUGAAGAUUAUGUGAUAGUAAACAUUUAGAUUUUGGAAAAGUAAUUCUGAAUUUGUGUUCAGAAAUUUACCAGAUUUGUGGCCAUGUGAACAUUUCUUAAUCUCUUUGCUCCUCAGUGUCCUUGUCUGCAAAGUGACAGUAGUAAUACCUGC
This 182-nucleotide small nuclear RNA is filed under the name Sus scrofa (pig). Its description in RNAcentral is "U2 spliceosomal RNA (multiple genes)". It matches the Rfam family "U2 spliceosomal RNA". From Rfam's summary of the family: U2 is a small nuclear RNA (snRNA) component of the spliceosome (involved in pre-mRNA splicing). Lineage: Eukaryota; Metazoa; Chordata; Mammalia; Artiodactyla; Suidae. The record is from RNAcentral. RNAcentral also lists the same sequence under 1 other name.